CACCUGCUGCUCCUGCGCCACAUUCUCUGCUCUCGGUAGCGGAGGACGACCUGGUCGUGGUCGUCUGAAGGAGCGGCUGAUAGUAUGCCCCUGUCGCCGGCCCCGUUCAAGUCCCCUCCGCGAAGGACCCGACCAGCCGACUGUAGGGCGCCCCCCGCCGGCCGUCGCCGCUGGACUCGCUCUCAGUAGCCCGUUCCUUCGACAUUCCUCCUGCAGGUCGGAGUCGGAAGUACAAUCAAUAACAUCGGACAUACAUAUAGAGGCAGUCUAGCUAGUUAUAAAACUAUCCUUAGGCAGGGUCACUACCAAGCAAGGUAGGGUUACAAAACAACACUGUGAAAAUGUUCUAAAUACACACCUCUUUUCUUUCAUUCCGGUGGUACCGUAGGCAAUCAAUGGCCUUUUUUUUUAGUCUCUUGGCGUCCUUUUCUCCUCGACGUCUAAGUCUCAGAUGCACUAUAGAGACGGUCUAACGAUGUUACAAGCACGUCCAUGCGAAGAACGAGGAAAAACUCUCAUCGUCCAUUACGUUAGCGUCCAAACAUUACGAGUUAAGGAUGGCACAGAAGUGAUAGUAGAGUCACCUCUAGCUUUUAGCUUUGGUACAGUAAGUACAUCAUGACUUUAAAGUUUAGGGAGGGAGGCAGUAAGUACAGACAAACAUGGGUGUUAGGGUGUACGAGGACGGUCUACCCGAGGUACCGUGAGGUAGUUAUAAUAUAACCUUGCAACACAACUACCUAAGUAUCUACCAAACACUAUAUUAGUAUAUUUCUCAGAGCUUAAUGAAAAGCUCGGGAUACUAGAGAAGACAUGUCCCAGCAGGAGUCGGAUUACAAUAAGAAUAGUAAUAUAUACGAGACACUAUGUCCACAACUCCGUCCCUUUUUCGUCGUUCUCUCCAUAACCGUGAAGUCUUUUCCCACAACUGACAAGACUUAAUUCGGUUUGUACUUUAGACUAACUCCAUCCCUACUUCGAGAAUAAAACGUAUCAUAAAAAUCCGUUAAAGUCUUAAAUGUAUAGUAUAUAUACAGGGAUCUAAUCUAUCAUACGUACGGGAGACAUUGGACGACUUAUAGAGAACCCAUUGAUUUCUACAAGUCUUAUUAGAUUUAAAGUCUUUAAUAAGCACCUAAUACUUACCGUCAAUAUACGGUGGUCUAUCGUUCUGACGAUGAACUUGUCAAACAAUAGACACUUCGAAUCCGCACAAUCUGCUUGAUUUAAACGAUAGUAAAAGGUGGUAAAUAAGGAUUCCGGUAGUCUUGGUAACUGUGUGAAAGCGAUGGGAUACCCUCAGGACAAUGGGAAAAAAAACAGUUACUGGGUGGUCAGUGGUGUUAACGUUUACCAAUCAAAUGAUUAUAAGUCACUGUCAUGUAUAAAUGACAACAAAUAAACGUGUAUACCAAAGAGUUAAAGUGAAGAGUUGUACCAUAAACGUUGAAUUAGUAAUGAGUUGGCUGGACGAAAACCAUAUGAAAGAAUGUUCAAAUUAGUGAAAUUCUAUAUAAUGACAUAGGGGGGAUUUUUUCCAUAUAAUGAUAUUAAAUCAUCCCGCGAGUAAGCUAAGUGUAUUGUUUAAAAUGUGCUAACAUACUCGAAGACGUAUAGACGUGGAUAUAAUCUUAGUCUAGUUUGAGGAUGUAAAUGAUUAUGUGAACUACGGGGAAUUUUACUAACUUUGUUGUAACAAUACGCACUAACAGCUAUUGAGUCCGUGAGUCGACUAAUCCAUCAUUUACCACUGAUAUGGUACAUUCUACGUAAAAGGGAAGUCUUACAUUGUACACAAAAAUACUUAAAAAACUACGCUUUGGUAAACGUGUGAUCGAACGUAGGUGGGACAGUUUCUUUUAUUAUUUUACUAUAGUCAUCAAGUCGUGUUACCGUUCUAUAGUCAUCAAGUCGUGUGGUACCAUCAUGUACGUACCGGGUGGUACAUGCGAGUGAUGAUUGUGGUAUCAGUUAAGUUCGCUGGAUAACGAUCCUUCGCGUACUCGACUACGAUCGUACGGGACUGUUUUGUACUUUUUUGAACAAGAGAUUACAUAGAUGGCGUACUCUCUAACAAAGCUAUGUUAAUAACAUAAAUUCUUUUAUUAAUGGUCCAAGAGACUACACCAUCAAGUGUCCAAGAGACUACGUUCCCGAGACCCAGUAGUCGAAGCCGUUCACCUCCAUGUUCAAGCCCGUACUGCUCGAAAUAAAGUAUUUUUGCACUGAAACUACAAACUUAUAAGGAAGAUUAGAAAAAUUACUAUUGCUCCGAGAGAACUAUCUUACACUUAAAAAGGGAAACAAAACAAUCGAAAAUACGAAAUAACACAAGAAGCAGUUUGUGUUUAGCGAUGGCUGUCCCUGACCGUACCUGCGGUACCUGAAAGUGUUGUGCCGGAAGUCGUGUCAAGGUUGCACGAGACGAGGAACCUGAGACAGACAGACGUGUUGCAGUUGUUGUCGGACUACCACGGAGACCCGGUACCGUACCGUCCUGUACGUCCAGGGCUAAGUUACCUCUGUACACCUCUGCGACCGUACAGCGUGCGAGCGACCUGUGUGUUCUCGUCGGUGUACCACUGACAGAAGUGCCCUAGUGCCCUCAAAAGAAAGAUGGUUCUCGCGGUCGACGGACUUCCCUGUUUUGAUACCUCCCCGCCACUUCUCUACUACAACUUCAUGAUGCACAGCACUCAAGGUCGCCGUGUUUGUACGAUCGGUGCAGAUCGAGACAGAGCCACGAAGGUGAUAAGUAAUUAAAAUCAAGCACGUACUAUAGAUGGUACAAGAAACUUAAUGAUCGUUUAAACGGGCACGAAACGUUGCCCUCUUUUUGAUAAUCUAAAAAACCUCCCAUUUUGAUAAUCUAAUAUGUCCACACUAUCUUAUUAUUUUUUCAGACUUAGUUUACGGGCCUACUCU
This 2925-nucleotide ribosomal RNA is filed under the name Triticum aestivum (bread wheat). Its description in RNAcentral is "partial small subunit ribosomal RNA". The record is from RNAcentral. Lineage: Eukaryota; Viridiplantae; Streptophyta; Magnoliopsida; Poales; Poaceae.